Molecule: signal recognition particle RNA, 98 nt
Filed under: Lentisphaerota bacterium
Lineage: Bacteria; Pseudomonadati; Lentisphaerota
Also listed under: 1 other name
Description: Lentisphaerae bacterium signal recognition particle sRNA small type
Rfam family: Bacterial small signal recognition particle RNA
About the family: The signal recognition particle (SRP) is a universally conserved ribonucleoprotein involved in the co-translational targeting of proteins to membranes. Archaeal SRP consists of a 7S RNA and homologues of the eukaryotic SRP19 and SRP54 proteins.
Source: RNAcentral
GGACGGACCCCGUGUGUUGUCAAAAGCGCCAACCGGGUCAGGUGGGGAACCAAGCAGCCCUACGCGAUUUUUGACAGGCCUCGGGUAAUCUGUUCCGG